RNAcentral lists this ribosomal RNA (437 nucleotides) under uncultured Alphaproteobacteria bacterium. Its description in RNAcentral is "bacterial SSU rRNA". It matches the Rfam family "Bacterial small subunit ribosomal RNA", at positions 205 to 662 of the family's 1533-position model. Lineage: Bacteria; Pseudomonadati; Pseudomonadota; Alphaproteobacteria. The record is from RNAcentral.
AGAUUUAUCGCUAUUGGAUGAGCCCGCGUCUGAUUAGAUAGUUGGUGGGGUAAUGGCCUACCAAGUCUACGAUCAGUAGCUGGUCUGAGAGGACGAUCAGCCACACUGGGACUGAGACACGGCCCAGACUCCUACGGGAGGCAGCAGUGGGGAAUAUUGGACAAUGGGCGCAAGCCUGAUCCAGCCAUGCCGCGUGAAUGAUGAAGGCCUUAGGGUUGUAAAGUUCUUUCGUUGGUGAAGAUAAUGACGGUAACCAAAGAAGAAGCCCCGGCUAACUUCGUGCCAGCAGCCGCGGUAAUACGAAGGGGGCUAGCGUUGUUCGGAAUCACUGGGCGUAAAGCGCACGUAGGCGGUAUAGCAAGUUAGGGGUGAAAUCCCAGGGCUUAACCCUGGAACUGCCUUUAAAACUGCUAUGCUGGAGUCUCGGAGGGGAUGGU